Molecule: long non-coding RNA, 338 nt
Organism: Amphiprion ocellaris (clown anemonefish)
Lineage: Eukaryota; Metazoa; Chordata; Actinopteri; Pomacentridae
Source: Ensembl
AAGGAUAGUCUUUCCCCGUGAUGUUACUCCCUUGUAUCACUGCUGGGGUUGUCAGCCAAUCGUGGCUUUCCAGCCAAUUAUAAAAGAACCUGAGCACCUGUGGUGGUGUUGUGGUGUCUUCGGUAGCGGUACCCCCUCCUGUGUGACAUGUGAACCCUGGGUUUUUUGUUAGUCCUUCAUGUGUGUGUGUGAUUGUCUAUUCACCUGGUGACCUCCCCCUGGGAUCUACUCCUCCCUUGCUGACACACUUCCACCUGACCCCGUCUCAUCCUGGAAAGAGUCACAACUGUUGUUGUCCUUGCAGCCUGGACCCAGAACACAUCAGUUUGAGCCUCGAG